Callithrix jacchus (white-tufted-ear marmoset) is the source of this 147-nucleotide unclassified non-coding RNA. It matches the Rfam family "Metazoan signal recognition particle RNA". From Rfam's summary of the family: The signal recognition particle (SRP) is a universally conserved ribonucleoprotein. It is involved in the co-translational targeting of proteins to membranes. The eukaryotic SRP consists of a 300-nucleotide 7S RNA and six proteins: SRPs 72, 68, 54, 19, 14, and 9. NCBI's taxonomy places the organism in Eukaryota, Metazoa, Chordata, Mammalia, Primates, Cebidae. The record is from Ensembl.
GCCAGGCAUGGUGGCGCAAGCCUGUAAUCCCCGCUACUGGGAGGCUGAGGUAGGAGAAUUGCUUGAACCCAGAAGGCAGAUGUUGCAGUGAGCUGAGAUCCUGCCACUGUACUCCAGUCUGGGUAACAGAGUGAGACUCUGUCUCAA